AAGCUAUAGACGACGAGAAGCUGUCAACCACCUUCAAAGUGAUUGAGGGAGACAUGAUGACCACGGAGUACAAGAGUUUCACGGCUAUCGUUCAGGCUACUCCCAAGGGAGAGGGCAGCUGCUUGUCUCACUGGACUUUUGAAUAUGAGAAGCUAAAUGAGAACGUUCCAGACCCUCAAACGCUGCUUGAGUUUUGGAUCCAUUGCCUCAAAGACAUUGAGGAUCAUCACCUUACCCAGCUACCAACAGCACAGGCAUGAAUGAUCGGUUAGUAUCAUAUGCGUGCAUGCUGCUGCUGCUGUCUUUAAUUUAAAACGUACGACCGCCGGCGUGAAUGAAUAAUAAGAAGCGGUGUGGUGGGGACAGGCCCUUGUUCUUCUAUAUUAAUGUAUGUUAGUAUGUUAAUCUAUCAAUAAACUUGUGUACGUGGGGUCUACUGAAACUCUCUCUGCGUUGCCGUGUGAUUUCAUGUAAAAAGGGCUUUGUGUGAAGUUAAUGCAUGCUUCGAUGUGUGAUUCAAGAUGUUGAAAGUCUCUCCUCCUAUCAUUUUUUAUUCUUUUCAAAAUCAAGAUCGAUUGACAGACGAAAUCAAAUCCACAAGGCCAACCGACUUUUUAGCGUAUAAAAUUAAAAAAAAUCAAUCUAUAUAAACCAGCUAAGAACCUCCUUUGCUUGUGCCCUCAUGAAACCUUACUCUGCCGUUUCAAUCAGUUGUUUAGAAGUGGAAUAGUAGUUUUUAAAGUGAUUUUUAAUUUGAAAAUAUAUUAAAAUAAUAUUUUAUUAUUUUUUAAAAUAUUAUUUUUUAUAUUAGUAUAUUAGAACGUUUAAAAAUAUUAAAAAAUAAUUUAAAAUAAAAAAUAAAUAUUUUAAAAAAUACUUUUAAAACAUAAUAAAAAUCUCUCGAUAUAUAAAUACAAUUCAAAUCUGAAAAGUCCAAAUCUUACAAUCACUCCCACCGACUGCGAGUCCCAAAUACAAAUCCCUCGACCAUUAAAUUAUUGUGAAAGUGGAUGGAUGUGACUUUCACGUGUGAUUGCUUGCAUCUUCUCUUUAUUUUUGUAAUCUAUUUGCUUUAUUUUCUACUCUCUGUUUUUUUUUAAUUCCGUGAUCGGAACAUGAGAAUCCCGUACGAAAUUGGAUGGAUCUUAAUUUGAUUUCAUGAUGGAUUAAAUCGAAUUAAACAAUGUUUUAAGAUAAUUGAUGAAAACUUUCUUUUUAUCCAGGAAUUAAUGAUGUGGGGACAAAUAGUUUGUAAAAUUGAACCCAAAGUCUAAAUAUAUUAUUUAUUUCUCAAUUAUACAUUUCGUGGAUAAUAAAGAAGCAGUGCUCGAUGUGCGGUAGCUAUGAUCUGUACUAAUGGUAAGAAAAUGCCAUUCUAUCUUUGCUUGAACAUCCCCAAUUAUCUUACGUAUCCGAUACCCUAUUAAUUAAUUAAAUGUUCUUAAAUUUAUAAUCGAGAUAAAACACAAACAGCACCACCUUUACAGCAAUCGGUUUGAAUAAAUCCAAGGGCUAAGGUCACGCUACAUACACUUUUGAAAAAAAAUAAUACUUUAAAAAUAAUAAUAAUAAAUAUUUUUUUAAACAAAAAAUACUUUAAAAAAUAACUAUUUACACUCCUAAACAUCUCACAAUGUAAUGUAUAACUUUUAGUAGGAUAAUUAUAAAAAUACAUCAUACUGUAGAAAUAUGUAAUAAUGUUUUUCAUGAUAUAGACUUGCAAAGAAAAUAAUAGGCAAAUGCCUCGUAGACUGGAUAAAUCCAGGUUCUACGAUCUUGAAACUGAACAUAAUCCAGAGAUAAAUUAUUAAUCACGGAUCGAUGUUGGAAUCAUCAUUUUUUUAAUUUAUAUCACAACCUGUACAUAUGAGCCUCAAAAGGUGGUGGACCGCCAUUCGAGUCGGCGAGGCAUCCGUCGCUUACCCAACAGUCUCCGCACGAGUCCACUUCCCAGCCUUCAAGUCGUCCCUCCUGUGCACAUGAGCCUCAAAUAGGUGGUGGAUCGUCAUUUUUUUUUUAUAUCACAACCUGUACAUGUGAGCCUCAAAUAUUUGUGAUGAUUUUGAUUCUUGAGUACAGGGCUUACCAGAAUCCAGGAAAUAACCGGUUCCUUGCUCAUCAACGACACCACUUCGGUCUACAUCAGUGCCAAAAACAAUUAAAAACCUCAACAAUAAGUAAAAUAUAUUUAUUAAUUAUAAUUUAUGAAAUAAAAAUUACUUCCACUUAACAAAAGAAUUCAAAUAUAAAUUGAAGAUUACUCAGGACUCUACUUAUCAGAAUUAUAUAAAAAAUAAUAAAAUUAUUUCUUAAAUAUUUUAAAAAAUCAUUAUUUAUAAUCUUGCUUAAGGUAUUUAUUUACCUUAAGCCGACUCUGAUUCAAGUUGCAAUGGACAUAAAAGGAGUGAAUGAAAUGAUAGUCAAGUGUGUGUUCAGUUUGGGGAAGGAGGGUGGGUGGUGGGCUAUGAAAGUUUGAGUAUAUGGUUAUAAUAUCAGAGUUUUAAUUUUUAGGCUUGCUCAAAGUAAAGGAAUAUCUUUCAUUUUAAUAUAUUUUAAAUUUUAGUUUUUUUUUCAUUAAAAAGAAAAUAAAUUACUAGGACUUUUGUUAUGUUAUGUUGUACAGAAGUUGAGUGAUGGCUUUUUUUUUUUUUUUUGCUAUUUGAGAUUGAAUUGAAUUGUUUUUAUUAAAACAUGAUUGUUUUUGCAUUUUAAAAAUAUUUUUGAAAAUAUAUUUAUUUAUUUUUUAUUUUAAAUUAAUAUUUUUUGAUAUUUUUAUAUUAUUUUAAUGUACUAAUAUAAAAAAUAAAUUUUAAAAAAUAAAAAAUAUAUAUUUUAAAAAACAAUCUGUACUUAAUAAUCUACAUCUGAGACUUUUGUUAUUUUGUUCAAAAGUUCAUACGUGUGUGUCUAUAUACAUACGUGAUAUAUAUAUACGCGCGCGCGCGCGCGUAGCAAUAUUAUCUGAUACAUGAAAAGUUUGAUAUCAUCACCAGUGCACGAUUUUUUAUGCCCUUACAUCUCUCUCUCGCCAGAUACGGAGAUUAUUAUUAGUUAUUUAAAAGAUCAUUUAUUUUGUGGACAAGCUUAUCCCCUCUUACUUAAAUGCCAAACCUGCCCAAGUUGUCGUCAGUAAUUGAAUACUUUUUCUAGGGUAGAAAUCCUUGAUUUAAUAAAUUCAAAUACCUUGUCAUCGGUAAUUUAGUGUUGGGCUACAUUCUUGUCAGGACAAGCACAUUGCAGUGGAUUUUUACUUCGACGGAGAUCAUGUUACCAAGAAGUAUUUGCAAGUGGAGUGCAUAUCUUUUGUGAUGGAUGGUAGAUAUGAUGUUUAAGAAAAAAUGGCGACGUGGACGAUGAAUACCCACGUCUUUAAAAGGAUAAAAUCCCAAAGCAUUUUCCCGACAACUGCUAUAAUUAGUGACAAAUUGAUGUCAUAUUCUAACGAACAGUGGGUAUUAAAAGAGCUUGUUCAACAAUCACAAGACAUAUCUAAGCAAUUAGGUGGACUUGGUUGGCAAAGAUACAAGGAAAUAUUCAAAUAUAUUAAAAAUUCUAAUUACUUAGUUAUUAUUAUAAAUUGAAUAAGAUAGCAAUAUUUUGAUGGAUUCAUUAAUUUUUUUUUAUUAAAAUAGUUUAGUUCUUAUUGGCCGAGCUACCUUGAAUAAACCAAAAAACUUUAUUUUAUUUUAUUCAGAUCCAAUUACUAUGUAAUUCGAUCUUUUUUCCAUUCAAUGAAAGUUUCCAGCUCCACGCUUUAAUUCUCGGGUUUGUUAUAUCUUUCUGACAAGAAUUAGACUGCAGACAUUUCAGUUAACAUGCCCUUAAAAUCUUAUUGGAUUGAGGAGCGAAUUUUAUUAUAACAAAAUGGCCACAUUUCAAAAAUAGUAAGAAUCAUCUAUGUAUUUAUGCAUAAAUGAUACAAAAAAUAUAAAAAAAGGGAGGCGGGGGAGAGAAACCCGCAAGAAAACCAACUAGAUAGAAUUAAAUAUAGAAAACCCUAAAUAAUGUAGGUCAAUAAUUGAUCUCUUCAUUUACUAGUCUAGGUGUAUAGUUAUCCCACGUCUUUAUAAGGACAAGAUCCCAAAGCAUUUUCCGUACAACUGCUAUAAUUGAUUUUGUUUUCUCAAAGCUUACACUGUUUAUAGUUUGAUUACCUACGCAGCAAAAUGACACUCUUCGGUAAGAUGGAGGCUGAAGUAGAGAUCAAGGUUUCUGCUGAAACAUUUCAUGAUAUCUUCAGCUGCAGACCACACCACAUUUCCAAUAUGAGCCCUGCCAAGAUACAGAACGUUGAUCUCCAUGAAGGUGAAUGGGGGAAGCCGGGCACUGUAAUCUGCUGGAGUUAUGUACAUGGUAAGGCUGUGACGUCAUAGAUCAUCCCUGACCGAAAACAUAUUAUGGAUUGCACUGCUCCUUAAUCAUAUAUAUAUAUAUAUAUGAUUACUAACCAUAAGUUUACAUCAUAAUUAGUCUACAAUUUUGUUUAUUUCUUAGAUGGCUUAUAGCAUGAGGAAGUGACUUGGGUUAUUUUUGUAUACGCUCGAUUUGAUCAUUAAUUCUAGAUCAGCUAUGAUCAAUCCAUUGCUGUAGAAAUUUUAUGACUUUCUGGUUGAUGAAAGGUUAACCUCAUAUACAUUUUCAGAAACAAAUUAUUAUAAAGAGUAGCAUGACAUGUCAAGGCAGUGAUUCAUGAGUACUGACAUUUAAUUUAUUUUUUAUGUAAAAAACAUUAAUAGAUGGGGUCGCGAAGACUGCGAAGGAGGUUAUUGAAGCUAUAGACGAUGAGAAGCUGUCAACCACCUUCAAAGUGAUUGAAGGAGAAAUCACCACGGAGUACAAGAACUUCAUAAUUAUCGUUCAAGCUACUCCCAAGGGAGAGGGCAGCUGCUUGGUUCACUGGACUUUUGAAUAUGAGAAGCUAAAUGAGAACGUUCCAGAUCCUCAAACGUUGCUUGAGUUUUGCAUCCAUUGCAGCAAAGAAAUUGAGGAUCAUCACCUUACCCAGCUACCAAUAGCACAGGCAUGAAUGAUCGGUUAGUAUCAUAUGCGUGCAUGCUGCUGCUGCUGUCUUUAAUUUAAAAUGACUCCUCUCAUGAAUGAAUAAUAAGAAGCUGUGUGGUGGAGACAGACGCCUGUUCUUCU
RNAcentral lists this long non-coding RNA (5142 nucleotides) under Populus tremula. RNAcentral describes it as "long non-coding RNA (PTRE_LNC000470)". The record is from RNAcentral. Lineage: Eukaryota; Viridiplantae; Streptophyta; Magnoliopsida; Malpighiales; Salicaceae.